Molecule: ribosomal RNA, 504 nt
Filed under: uncultured bacterium
Lineage: Bacteria
Description: bacterial SSU rRNA
Rfam family: Bacterial small subunit ribosomal RNA
Source: RNAcentral
AACGAACGCUGGCGGCAUGCCUAACACAUGCAAGUCGAACGCCCCGCAAGGGGAGUGGCGAACGGGUGAGUAACGCGUGGGAACCUACCCAGCAGUUGGGGAUAACCGCGGGAAACUGCGGCUAAUACCGAAUACGUCCUGAGGGAGAAAGAUUUAUCGCUGUUGGAGGGGCCCGCGUCGGAUUAGCUAGUUGGUGAGGUAAUGGCUCACCAAGGCAUCGAUCCGUAGCUGGUCUGAGAGGAUGAUCAGCCACACUGGGACUUAGACACGGCCCAGACUCCUACGGGAGGCAGCAGUGGGGAAUAUUGGACAAUGGGGGCAACCCUGAUCCAGCAAUGCCGCGUGAGUGAUGAAGGCCUUAGGGUUGUAAAGCUCUUUUACCGGGGACGAUGAUGACGGUACCCGGAGAAUAAGCCCCGGCUAACUUCGUGCCAGCAGCCGCGGUAAUACGAAGGAAGGCGAGCGUUGUUCGGAGUUACUGGGCGUAAAGAGGGCGUAGGGCGA